Molecule: long non-coding RNA, 1638 nt
Filed under: Phascolarctos cinereus (koala)
Lineage: Eukaryota; Metazoa; Chordata; Mammalia; Diprotodontia; Phascolarctidae
Description: lncRNA (ENSPCIG00000034036.1)
Source: RNAcentral
AGAGGUUCCUCAAUUCAAAGCUGGGAGUGUAACAAGGGAUUCUGCUUCCUUUACAGACACAGACCAACUCCGACUCAGGGAAGGAAAGACCCCAUGCUCUGGACGAGUGGAGAUCUGGCACAGUGGCUCCUGGGGGACCGUAUGUGAUGACUCAUGGGACCUAGAAGAUGCUAAUGUGGUUUGCCAGCAGCUGGGCUGUGGCUCUGCUGUGGCUUCCCUGGGAGAGGCUGCAUUUGGCCCAGGAAAUGGGACCAUCUGGCUAGAUGAUGUACAAUGCACAGGGAGAGAGUCCUCUCUGUGGGAUUGCCCUGCAGAGCCCUGGGGGAAGAAUGACUGUAAACAUGAUGAGGAUGCUGGUGUCAGAUGCUCAUGGUACACAGAUUUUCGUCUGAUGAAUGGAAGCUCCCAAUGUGAAGGAAGAGUAGAGAUCCAAGUUUUUGGGACCUGGAGAACUCUGUGACUCCCACUGGGACCUGGGAGAAGCCAAUGUUCUCUGCCAUCAGCUCAACUGUGGUGUUGCCAUGAAGCCUCCAGAAGAUGUAUAUUUUGGCAAAGGAAGUGUCCCGACCAUAAGGGAUACAUUUUACUGCACAGGAACCGAGUCUCAUUUAUGGAAUUGUUCAGUGACUAUCCUGGGGACUUCUCCAUGUUCCAAAGGAAAAGUUGCUUCUGUGGUCUGCUCAGGAAACCAGACACAGUCCCUCAUGUUCAAUAAUUCACAGUCUGACCAGGAAAAGGUACCUGUCUUAUUUUCAGGUAAGAAAGAAAGUCGGACAAAAUGAGGAAACCCUUCUCAUUCCUGGGGAAAAUGGGCAAUUAAUCUGCAUUUCUUCUUGUAGAAAUUGGACAGCUUCGUCUGUUGAAUGGAAGAGGUCCCUGCUCUGGAAGAGUUGAAGUCUAUUACAAUGGUACCUGGGGGACUGUCUGUGAUGAUUCUUGGGACUUGAGCGAUGCCCAUGUGGUGUGCAGGCAACUGGGCUGUGGAGUGGCCCUCAAAGCCAUGGUCUCUGCUCACUUUGGACAAGGAUCAGGGCCCAUCUGGCUAGAUGAGCUUAGCUGCUCUGGAAAUGAAUCCCACCUAGGAGAGUGCCCUUCCCUCCAUUGGGGGUCGGCAUGACUGCAGGCACAAAGAGGAUGCAGGAGUCCUCUGCUCAGGUCCGGGCCAUACACAUCCUACUAACAGUGAGGGACUUAUGUGAGCACUUAGGAGGUGGGGCUUAGAGACGUGAGGGAGGAGGAGCUGAUUCAGACAGGGAGGAGGACUUCCUGCCCCAACCACAGCCCUUCCUAGAGUGCAGUUUUAAGGCAAGACCUCUUAUCUGAAGGAUGAUUUUAUUUAUCUCCUACAUUUGUAUAGAUGGGUCUCUGCCCUUAUGAAGGGGUGUAUGUGGGUGUGUGUGUGUGUGUGUGUGUGUGUGUGCGUGUAUAUUUUCUUAUACUUCAUUUCCUAAUAGAGUGCUAUUCUCAGAAUAGGUAUACAUGUCUGCUGAUUUACUUUUCUAUUGGUGGUUCACAGAUACACACUAAUUUUGAAACUGUGAAACUGAGUAGUGAAAUCACAGUAAAGGCAUUCCUGUCUUUUUAAUGGGGGACACAAGAUAGAGAGAAUUGUACAGAAAUAUAGAGGAAGGAAUUCUG